UUAUAAAAAAAAACUAAAUAUUACAUUACAUCAAAUAAAUUUAAAAAGAUAAUCAACACACAAUGAUAUCAACAUAAAAUUAAAAUAUUGCAUUACAUAAAAUAUUACAAAUUGAUCAUGAUCAACAUAAUUUAUGAAGGUCUAUUUUUUUAAUCCACUGACCAUGAAGUUUCUUGUCCUGCACGUCAAUAUUUUAUGAAGUUAAAAAGAAAACAAAGUAAAACAUAAAACAAAAUCAACACUAAACAACAUUAAAGGGCUUACCUACCUUCAAGUAUGACCAUAGAUCUGGAAAAAAAAAAUAGACUGUAGAUUUUCUAUUUCCAGUCAAUUACCUUUCAAUUUAAACCUAUUCCCAGGUUUCUCUUUUCCCAGUUUUCUCUUUGUUUUUUUAGCUAACAAUGGAACCAAAA
Molecule: long non-coding RNA, 413 nt
Filed under: Trifolium pratense (red clover)
Lineage: Eukaryota; Viridiplantae; Streptophyta; Magnoliopsida; Fabales; Fabaceae
Description: long non-coding RNA (TPRA_LNC003670)
Source: RNAcentral